Molecule: ribosomal RNA, 464 nt
Filed under: Vreelandella stevensii
Lineage: Bacteria; Pseudomonadati; Pseudomonadota; Gammaproteobacteria; Oceanospirillales; Halomonadaceae
Description: partial 16S ribosomal RNA
Rfam family: Bacterial small subunit ribosomal RNA
Source: RNAcentral
CCUACGGGAGGCUGCAGUGGGGAAUAUUGGACAAUGGGGGGAACCCUGAUCCAGCCAUGCCGCGUGUGUGAAGAAGGCCCUCGGGUUGUAAAGCACUUUCAGUGAGGAAGAACGCCUGGUGGUUAAUACCCAUCAGGAAAGACAUCACUCACAGAAGAAGCACCGGCUAACUCCGUGCCAGCAGCCGCGGUAAUACGGAGGGUGCGAGCGUUAAUCGGAAUUACUGGGCGUAAAGCGCGCGUAGGUGGCUUGAUAAGCCGGUUGUGAAAGCCCCGGGCUCAACCUGGGAACGGCAUCCGGAACUGUCAAGCUAGAGUGCAGGAGAGGGAGGUAGAAUUCCCGGUGUAGCGGUGAAAUGCGUAGAGAUCGGGAGGAAUACCAGUGGCGAAGGCGGCCUUCUGGACUGACACUGACACUGAGGUGCGAAAGCGUGGGUAGCAAACAGGAUUAGAUACCCCAGUAGU